GAUGAACGCUGGCGGCGUGCCUAAUACAUGCAAGUCGAGCGAACAGAUAAGGAGCUUGCUCCUUUGACGUUAGCGGCGGACGGGUGAGUAACACGUGGGUAACCUACCUAUAAUACUGGGAUAACUUCGGGAAACCGGAGCUAAUACCGGAUAAUAUUUCGAACCGCAUUGUUCGAUAGUGAAAUAUGGUUUUGCUAUCACUUAUAGAUGGACCCGCGCCGUAUUAGAUAGUUGUUAAGGUAACGGCUUACCAAGGCGACGAUUCGUAUCCGACCUGAGAGGGGGAUAGGCAAAAGUGGAACGGAGACACGGACAAGAGGACUACGGGAGGGAGCAGAAGGGAAUGUGACGCAAUGGGCGAAAGCAUGACGGAGCAACGGCGCGUGAGAGAUGAAGGUCUUGGGAGCGUAAAACUCGGUUAUUAGGGAAGAAAAUAAGUGUAAGAAAAUGUGCACGGAGUGACGGUAACGAAUAAGAAAGCAACGGCUAACUACGUG
Molecule: ribosomal RNA, 497 nt
Filed under: uncultured bacterium
Lineage: Bacteria
Description: partial 16S ribosomal RNA
Rfam family: Bacterial small subunit ribosomal RNA
Source: RNAcentral